This 450-nucleotide ribosomal RNA is filed under the name uncultured Glomus. RNAcentral's name for it is "SSU rRNA". It matches the Rfam family "Eukaryotic small subunit ribosomal RNA", at positions 569 to 1025 of the family's 1831-position model. The record is from RNAcentral. Lineage: Eukaryota; Fungi; Glomeromycota; Glomeromycetes; Glomerales; Glomeraceae.
AGCAGCCGCGGUAAUUCCAGCUCCAAUAGCGUAUAUUAAAGUUGCUGCAGUUAAAAAGCUCGUAGUUGAAUUUCGGGACCAUCAUGUCGGUCGUGCCUCGGUACGUACUGGCAUUGUUGGUUUCUCCCUUCUGACGAACCAUGAUGUCAUUUAUUUGGUGUUGUGGGAAAUCAGGACUGUUACUUUGAAAAAUUAGAGUGUUUAAAGCAGGCUCACGCUUGAAUACAUUAGCAUGGAAUAAUGAAAUAGGACGUUUGAUUCUAUUUUGUUGGUUUCUAGGAUCGACGUAAUGAUUAAUAGGGAUAGUUGGGGGCAUUAGUAUUCAAUUGUCAGAGGUGAAAUUCUUGGAUUUAUUGAAGACUAACUACUGCGAAAGCAUUUGCCAAGGAUGUUUUCAUUAAUCAAGAACGAAAGUUAGGGGAUCGAAGACGAUCAGAUACCGUCGUAGCC